Molecule: ribosomal RNA, 2930 nt
Filed under: Escherichia coli
Lineage: Bacteria; Pseudomonadati; Pseudomonadota; Gammaproteobacteria; Enterobacterales; Enterobacteriaceae
Description: 23S ribosomal RNA
Rfam family: Bacterial large subunit ribosomal RNA
Source: RNAcentral
GGGUUGUGAGGUUAAGCGACUAAGCGUACACGGUGGAUGCCCUGGCAGUCAGAGGCGAUGAAGGACGUGCUAAUCUGCGAUAAGCGUCGGUAAGGUGAUAUGAACCGUUAUAACCGGCGAUUUCCGAAUGGGGAAACCCAGUGUGUUUCGACACACUAUCAUUAACUGAAUCCAUAGGUUAAUGAGGCGAACCGGGGGAACUGAAACAUCUAAGUACCCCGAGGAAAAGAAAUCAACCGAGAUUCCCCCAGUAGCGGCGAGCGAACGGGGAGCAGCCCAGAGCCUGAAUCAGUGUGUGUGUUAGUGGAAGCGUCUGGAAAGGCGCGCGAUACAGGGUGACAGCCCCGUACACAAAAAUGCACAUGCUGUGAGCUCGAUGAGUAGGGCGGGACACGUGGUAUCCUGUCUGAAUAUGGGGGGACCAUCCUCCAAGGCUAAAUACUCCUGACUGACCGAUAGUGAACCAGUACCGUGAGGGAAAGGCGAAAAGAACCCCGGCGAGGGGAGUGAAAAAGAACCUGAAACCGUGUACGUACAAGCAGUGGGAGCACGCUUAGGCGUGUGACUGCGUACCUUUUGUAUAAUGGGUCAGCGACUUAUAUUCUGUAGCAAGGUUAACCGAAUAGGGGAGCCGAAGGGAAACCGAGUCUUAACUGGGCGUUAAGUUGCAGGGUAUAGACCCGAAACCCGGUGAUCUAGCCAUGGGCAGGUUGAAGGUUGGGUAACACUAACUGGAGGACCGAACCGACUAAUGUUGAAAAAUUAGCGGAUGACUUGUGGCUGGGGGUGAAAGGCCAAUCAAACCGGGAGAUAGCUGGUUCUCCCCGAAAGCUAUUUAGGUAGCGCCUCGUGAAUUCAUCUCCGGGGGUAGAGCACUGUUUCGGCAAGGGGGUCAUCCCGACUUACCAACCCGAUGCAAACUGCGAAUACCGGAGAAUGUUAUCACGGGAGACACACGGCGGGUGCUAACGUCCGUCGUGAAGAGGGAAACAACCCAGACCGCCAGCUAAGGUCCCAAAGUCAUGGUUAAGUGGGAAACGAUGUGGGAAGGCCCAGACAGCCAGGAUGUUGGCUUAGAAGCAGCCAUCAUUUAAAGAAAGCGUAAUAGCUCACUGGUCGAGUCGGCCUGCGCGGAAGAUGUAACGGGGCUAAACCAUGCACCGAAGCUGCGGCAGCGACGCUGAUGCGUUGUUGGGUAGGGGAGCGUUCUGUAAGCCUGUGAAGGUGUACUGUGAGGUAUGCUGGAGGUAUCAGAAGUGCGAAUGCUGACAUAAGUAACGAUAAAGCGGGUGAAAAGCCCGCUCGCCGGAAGACCAAGGGUUCCUGUCCAACGUUAAUCGGGGCAGGGUGAGUCGACCCCUAAGGCGAGGCCGAAAGGCGUAGUCGAUGGGAAACAGGUUAAUAUUCCUGUACUUGGUGUUACUGCGAAGGGGGGACGGAGAAGGCUAUGUUGGCCGGGCGACGGUUGUCCCGGUUUAAGCGUGUAGGCUGGUUUUCCAGGCAAAUCCGGAAAAUCAAGGCUGAGGCGUGAUGACGAGGCACUACGGUGCUGAAGCAACAAAUGCCCUGCUUCCAGGAAAAGCCUCUAAGCAUCAGGUAACAUCAAAUCGUACCCCAAACCGACACAGGUGGUCAGGUAGAGAAUACCAAGGCGCUUGAGAGAACUCGGGUGAAGGAACUAGGCAAAAUGGUGCCGUAACUUCGGGAGAAGGCACGCUGAUAUGUAGGUGAAGUCCCUCGCGGAUGGAGCUGAAAUCAGUCGAAGAUACCAGCUGGCUGCAACUGUUUAUUAAAAACACAGCACUGUGCAAACACGAAAGUGGACGUAUACGGUGUGACGCCUGCCCGGUGCCGGAAGGUUAAUUGAUGGGGUCAGCGCAAGCGAAGCUCUUGAUCGAAGCCCCGGUAAACGGCGGCCGUAACUAUAACGGUCCUAAGGUAGCGAAAUUCCUUGUCGGGUAAGUUCCGACCUGCACGAAUGGCGUAAUGAUGGCCAGGCUGUCUCCACCCGAGACUCAGUGAAAUUGAACUCGCUGUGAAGAUGCAGUGUACCCGCGGCAAGACGGAAAGACCCCGUGAACCUUUACUAUAGCUUGACACUGAACAUUGAGCCUUGAUGUGUAGGAUAGGUGGGAGGCUUUGAAGUGUGGACGCCAGUCUGCAUGGAGCCGACCUUGAAAUACCACCCUUUAAUGUUUGAUGUUCUAACGUUGACCCGUGAUCCGGGUUGCGGACAGUGUCUGGUGGGUAGUUUGACUGGGGCGGUCUCCUCCUAAAGAGUAACGGAGGAGCACGAAGGUUGGCUAAUCCUGGUCGGACAUCAGGAGGUUAGUGCAAUGGCAUAAGCCAGCUUGACUGCGAGCGUGACGGCGCGAGCAGGUGCGAAAGCAGGUCAUAGUGAUCCGGUGGUUCUGAAUGGAAGGGCCAUCGCUCAACGGAUAAAAGGUACUCCGGGGAUAACAGGCUGAUACCGCCCAAGAGUUCAUAUCGACGGCGGUGUUUGGCACCUCGAUGUCGGCUCAUCACAUCCUGGGGCUGAAGUAGGUCCCAAGGGUAUGGCUGUUCGCCAUUUAAAGUGGUACGCGAGCUGGGUUUAGAACGUCGUGAGACAGUUCGGUCCCUAUCUGCCGUGGGCGCUGGAGAACUGAGGGGGGCUGCUCCUAGUACGAGAGGACCGGAGUGGACGCAUCACUGGUGUUCGGGUUGUCAUGCCAAUGGCACUGCCCGGUAGCUAAAUGCGGAAGAGAUAAGUGCUGAAAGCAUCUAAGCACGAAACUUGCCCCGAGAUGAGUUCUCCCUGACUCCUUGAGAGUCCUGAAGGAACGUUGAAGACGACGACGUUGAUAGGCCGGGUGUGUAAGCGCAGCGAUGCGUUGAGCUAACCGGUACUAAUGAACCGUGAGGCUUAACCUUACAACGCCGAAGCUGUU